This 432-nucleotide ribosomal RNA is filed under the name uncultured bacterium. Its description in RNAcentral is "bacterial SSU rRNA". It matches the Rfam family "Bacterial small subunit ribosomal RNA", at positions 960 to 1391 of the family's 1533-position model. The record is from RNAcentral.
CGCGAAGAACCUUACCUGGUCUUGACAUAUCUAGAAUCCUGCAGAGAUGCGGGAGUGCCUUCGGGAAUUAGAAUACAGGUGCUGCAUGGCUGUCGUCAGCUCGUGUCGUGAGAUGCUGGGUUAAGUCCCGCAACGAGCGCAACCCUUGUCCUUAGUUACCAGCGGGUUAAGCCGGGAACUCUAAGGAUACUGCCAGUGACAAACUGGAGGAAGGCGGGGACGACGUCAAGUCAUCAUGGCCCUUACGACCAGGGCUACACACGUGCUACAAUGGUAGGUACAGAGGGCAGCUACACAGCGAUGUGAUGCGAAUCUCAAAAAGCCUAUCGUAGUCCAGAUUGGAGUCUGCAACUCGACUCCAUGAAGUAGGAAUCGCUAGUAAUCGCGGAUCAGAAUGCCGCGGUGAAUACGUUCCCGGGUCUUGUACACACC